GAUGAACGCUAGCUACAGGCUUAACACAUGCAAGUCGAGGGGAAACGACAUCGAAAGCUUGCUUUUGGUGGGCGUCGACCGGCGCACGGGUGAGUAACGCGUAUCCAACCUGCCCACCACUUGGGAAUAACCUUGCGAAAGUAAGACUAAUACCCAAUGAUAUCCCACGAAGGCAUCCGAAUGGGAUUAAAGAUUUAUCGGUGAUGGAUGGGGAUGCGUCUGAUUAGCUUGUUGGCGGGGUAACGGCCCACCAAGGCAACGAUCAGUAGGGGUUCUGAGAGGAAGGUCCCCCACAUUGGAACUGAGACACGGUCCAAACUCCUACGGGAGGCAGCAGUGAGGAAUAUUGGUCAAUGGGCGAGAGCCUGAACCAGCCAAGUAGCGUGCAGGAUGACGGCCCUAUGGGUUGUAAACUGCUUUUAUAGGGGAAUAAAGUGAGCCACGUGUGGCUUUUUGCAUGUACCCUAUGAAUAAGGACCGGCUAAUUCCGUG
Molecule: ribosomal RNA, 492 nt
Filed under: uncultured bacterium
Lineage: Bacteria
Description: bacterial SSU rRNA
Rfam family: Bacterial small subunit ribosomal RNA
Source: RNAcentral